GACGAACGCUGGCGGCGUGCUUAACACAUGCAAGUCGAACGGAAAGGCCCUGCUUUUGUGGGGUGCUCGAGUGGCGAACGGGUGAGUAACACGUGAGUAACCUGCCCUUGACUUUGGGAUAACUUCAGGAAACUGGGGCUAAUACCGGAUAGGAGCUCCUGCUGCAUGGUGGGGGUUGGAAAGUUUCGGCGGUUGGGGAUGGACUCGCGGCUUAUCAGCUUGUUGGUGGGGUAGUGGCUUACCAAGGCUUUGACGGGUAGCCGGCCUGAGAGGGUGACCGGCCACAUUGGGACUGCGAUACGGCCCAGACUCCUACGGGAGGCAGCAGUGGGGAAUAUUGCACAAUGGGCGGAAGCCGGAUGCAGCAACGCCGCGUGCGGGAUGACGGCCUUCUGGUUGUAAACCGCUUUCGCCUGUGACGAAGCGUGAGUGACGGUAAUGGGUAAAGAAGCACCGGCUAACUACGUG
Molecule: ribosomal RNA, 468 nt
Filed under: uncultured bacterium
Lineage: Bacteria
Description: partial 16S ribosomal RNA
Rfam family: Bacterial small subunit ribosomal RNA
Source: RNAcentral